CAGCUCAUAGCGUAUAUUAAAGUUGUUGCAGUUAAAAAGCUCGUAGUUGAAUUUCGGGAUCAAUACGUCGGUCGUGCCUUCGGUACGCACUGGSGUCGUUGAUUUCUCCCUUCUGAUGAACCAUGAUGUCAUUAAUUUGGUGUUGUGGGGAGUCAGGACUGUUACUUUGAAAAAAUUAGAGUGUUUAAAGCAGGCAAACGCUUGAAUACAUUAGCAUGGAAUAAUGAAAUAGGACGUUCGAACCUAUUUUGUUGGUUUCUAGGUACAACGUAAUGAUUAAUAGGGAUAGUUGGGGGCAUUAGUAUUCAAUUGUCAGAGGUGAAAUUCUUGGAUUUAUUGAAGACUAACUACUGCGAAAGCAUUUGCCAAGGAUGUUUUCAUUAAUCAAGAACGAAAGUUAGGGGAUCGAAGACGAUCAGAUACCGUCGUAGUCUUAACCAUAAACUAUGCCGACUAGGGAUCGGAUGAAGUUAAUUUUUUAAUGACUCAUUCGGCG
RNAcentral lists this ribosomal RNA (496 nucleotides) under uncultured fungus. RNAcentral's name for it is "SSU rRNA". It matches the Rfam family "Eukaryotic small subunit ribosomal RNA", at positions 588 to 1096 of the family's 1831-position model. The record is from RNAcentral. Lineage: Eukaryota; Fungi.